This 253-nucleotide ribosomal RNA is filed under the name uncultured bacterium. RNAcentral's name for it is "partial 16S ribosomal RNA". It matches the Rfam family "Bacterial small subunit ribosomal RNA", at positions 524 to 776 of the family's 1533-position model. The record is from RNAcentral.
UACAGAGGGUGCAAGCGUUGUUCGGAAUUAUUGGGCGUAAAGCGCGUGUAGGCGGCUUUGCAAGUCGGGUGUGAAAGCCCUCGGCUCAACCGAGGAAGUGCGCCCGAAACUGCAGAGCUUGAGUACCGGAGAGGAUGGCGGAAUUCCCCAAGUAGAGGUGAAAUUCGUAGAUAUGGGGAGGAACACCGGUGGCGAAGGCGGCCACCUGGACGGUAACUGACGCUGAGACGCGAAAGCGUGGGGAGCAAACAGG